RNAcentral lists this long non-coding RNA (210 nucleotides) under Theobroma cacao (cacao). Its description in RNAcentral is "long non-coding RNA (TCAC_LNC000944)". The record is from RNAcentral. Lineage: Eukaryota; Viridiplantae; Streptophyta; Magnoliopsida; Malvales; Malvaceae.
AAAAUUCAAGGGAAAAUUGGUGGAUUUCAAGGAAUUAAGCAAGGUAAAAUUUCUUGAUUUUAGCUUGUGAUCUACCUUUCCUAUGCAUUCUUUUUCAUUUUUCAUGGUUGAGAAUCAAGUUUGCAUGAAGAUACCUUUGCUGGCCGGACAUGGGGGGAGGGGUUUUGAUCUUGGAUUUAACUAGAUUACAUGUUAUUCUAGUGUUUUUAG